GCUCAGGAUGAACGCUGGCGGCGUGCUUAACACAUGCAAGUCGAACGAAGCACUUUGAUUGAUUUCUUCGGAUUGAAAUUUUAGUGACUGAGUGGCGGACGGGUGAGUAACGCGUGGGUAACCUGCCUCACACAGGGGGAUAACAGUUGGAAACGGCUGCUAAUACCGCAUAAGCGCACAGUACCGCAUGGUACAGUGUGAAAAACUCCGGUGGUGUGAGAUGGACCCGCGUCUGAUUAGCUAGUUGGCAGGGCAGCGGCCUACCAAGGCGACGAUCAGUAGCCGACCUGAGAGGGUGACCGGCCACAUUGGGACUGAGACACGGCCCAAACUCCUACGGGAGGCAGCAGUA
Molecule: ribosomal RNA, 352 nt
Filed under: uncultured bacterium
Lineage: Bacteria
Description: bacterial SSU rRNA
Rfam family: Bacterial small subunit ribosomal RNA
Source: RNAcentral